RNAcentral lists this ribosomal RNA (466 nucleotides) under uncultured bacterium. RNAcentral's name for it is "partial 16S ribosomal RNA". It matches the Rfam family "Bacterial small subunit ribosomal RNA", at positions 28 to 507 of the family's 1533-position model. The record is from RNAcentral.
GACGAACGCUGGCGGCGUGCUUAACACAUGCAAGUCGAACGGAAAGGCCCUGCUUGCAGGGUACUCGAGUGGCGAACGGGUGAGUAACACGUGGGUGAUCUGCCCUGCACUUCGGGAUAAGCUUGGGAAACUGGGUCUAAUACCGGAUAGGAGCCAUCUUUAGUGUGGUGGUUGGAAAGUUUUUUCGGUGUAGGAUGAGCUCGCGGCCUAUCAGCUUGUUGGUGGGGUAAUGGCCUACCAAGGCGGCGACGGGUAGCCGGCCUGAGAGGGUGUACGGCCACAUUGGGACUGAGAUACGGCCCAGACUCCUACAGGAGGGAGCAGUGGGGAAUAUUGCACAAUGGGCGCAAGCCUGAUGCAGCGACGCCGCGUGGGGGAUGAAGGCCUUCGGGGUGUAAACUCCUUUCGCUAGGGACGAAGCUUUUUUGUGACGGUACCUAGAGAAGAAGCACCGGCUAACUACGUG